This 497-nucleotide ribosomal RNA is filed under the name uncultured bacterium. Its description in RNAcentral is "partial 16S ribosomal RNA". It matches the Rfam family "Bacterial small subunit ribosomal RNA", at positions 28 to 507 of the family's 1533-position model. The record is from RNAcentral.
GAUGAACGCUGGCGGCGUGCCUAAUACAUGCAAGUCGAGCGAACGGACGAGAAGCUUGCUUCUCUGAUGUUAGCGGCGGACGGGUGAGUAACACGUGGAUAACCUACCUAUAAGACUGGGAUAACUUCGGGAAACCGGAGCUAAUACCGGAUAAUAUUUUGAACCGCAUGGUUCAAAAGUGAAAGACGGUCUUGCUGUCACUUAUAGAUGGAUCCGCGCUGCAUUAGCUAGUUGGUAAGGUAACGGCUUACCAAGGCAACGAUGCAUAGCCGACCUGAGAGGGUGAUCGGCCACACUGGAACUGAGACACGGUCCAGACUCCUACGGGAGGUAGCAGUAGGGAAUCUUCCGCAAUGGGCGAAAGCCUGACGGAGCAACGCCGCGUGAGUGAUGAAGGUCUUCGGAUCGUAAAACUCUGUUAUUAGGGAAGAACAUAUGUGUAAGUAGCUGUGCACAUCGUGACGGUACCUAAUCAGAAAGCCACGGCUAACUACGUG